RNAcentral lists this ribosomal RNA (400 nucleotides) under uncultured bacterium. RNAcentral's name for it is "bacterial SSU rRNA". It matches the Rfam family "Bacterial small subunit ribosomal RNA", at positions 129 to 524 of the family's 1533-position model. The record is from RNAcentral.
CCUGAUGGAGGGGGAUAACUACUGGAAACGGUAGCUAAUACCGCAUAACGUCUUCGGACCAAAGUGGGGGACCUUCGGGCCUCACACCAUCGGAUGUGCCCAGAUGGGAUUAGCUAGUAGGUGGGGUAAUGGCUCACCUAGGCGACGAUCCCUAGCUGGUCUGAGAGGAUGACCAGCCACACUGGAACUGAGACACGGUCCAGACUCCUACGGGAGGCAGCAGUGGGGAAUAUUGCACAAUGGGCGCAAGCCUGAUGCAGCCAUGCCGCGUGUGUGAAGAAGGCCUUCGGGUUGUAAAGCACUUUCAGCGAGGAGGAAGGCAUUAAGGUUAAUAACCUUGGUGAUUGACGUUACUCGCAGAAGAAGCACCGGCUAACUCCGUGCCAGCAGCCGCGGUAAU